AACUGGAUUAAGGGCUUGAUUGGU
Molecule: non-coding RNA, 24 nt
Filed under: Arabidopsis thaliana (thale cress)
Lineage: Eukaryota; Viridiplantae; Streptophyta; Magnoliopsida; Brassicales; Brassicaceae
Source: RNAcentral